AGGUUUGCUGCACAGUGUAAAUAAAUAAAAAUAAAAAAUCUUAAGCGACACGUCAUUAUUUGAAUACAAACCUAAAAUACACGUACACACGUACAAAUAUCUCAAGUAAUUGAAUAUGAAACUCUGAUGACUCAAUAAAUCUUGGAACAUCAGUCUCAAAUAAACAUUUGGUGAGAACGAACAUUUCUGCAGCGGACUUAAUUUUUUUUAUAAAUAUUUUAUUUUUGCAAAAAAAUGAAAUUUAUUGCAAUAAUAUUAUUAGUAUUGUUCGCUCUGAUUCUGGCAAAUAUUGAGGCAAAUACGGUUUUAGAAGAGGAGGGCAAAAAUGUUGUAACAGACACUGAUCCCAAUGAAAGUGUGAGUGAUGAGUCCAACCUAAAUCUGGAUGAACAGAAUGUUAAAACUAAUUAUUAUAAGUUAUGCGAUUGGUAAUAUGUUUUAUUACCGCAAAUGUUGUUUUCAUAAAAAAACAGGCGUAACGUGAUAAGUCUAGAGUAUUUUUAAAUAACAAAAUAAAUAUGACAUCCCAACAGA
Long non-coding RNA from Musca domestica (house fly), 534 nucleotides. RefSeq lists it as uncharacterized. The transcript has 2 exons. The record is from RefSeq and is a predicted model, not a curated record. Lineage: Eukaryota; Metazoa; Arthropoda; Insecta; Diptera; Muscidae.